UACGUAGGGGGCUAGCGUUGUCCGGAUUUAUUGGGCGUAAAGAGCGUGUAGGCGGCCAGGUAGGUCUGGUGUGAAAACUCGAGGCUUAACCUCGAGAUGUCAUCGGAAACCAUCUGGCUAGAGUCCGGAAGAGGAGAGUGGAAUUCCUGGUGUAGCGGUGAAAUGCGCAGAUAUCAGGAAGAACACCAAUGGCGAAAGCAGCUCUCUGGGACGGUACUGACGCUGAGGCGCGAAGGCGUGGGGAGCGAACGGG
This 253-nucleotide ribosomal RNA is filed under the name uncultured bacterium. RNAcentral describes it as "partial 16S ribosomal RNA". It matches the Rfam family "Bacterial small subunit ribosomal RNA", at positions 524 to 776 of the family's 1533-position model. The record is from RNAcentral.